AGUAACGAGUGCCAGCGCCAAGCCCUGACUUGCUGGCCGGCAACCCUCUUUCACGGCGGGGUGCCUCAGGUGACUACUCGGCACAACGAUCACAUCCCAUGAUCACCAGCGUGCACAGCGUGAGGA
RNAcentral lists this non-coding RNA (126 nucleotides) under Arthrobacter sp. RNAcentral describes it as "SAM-IV sequence". It matches the Rfam family "SAM (S-adenosyl methionine) riboswitch aptamer". Rfam says of the family: SAM-IV is a mRNA element that regulates gene expression via direct sensing of S-adenosylmethionine (SAM or AdoMet). The record is from RNAcentral. Lineage: Bacteria; Bacillati; Actinomycetota; Actinomycetes; Micrococcales; Micrococcaceae.